GGAGGGUCAUAGCUCAGUGGAAGAGCAUCUGCUUUGCAUGCAGAAGAUCCCUGGUUUGAAUCCUGUCAUCUCCU
RNAcentral lists this transfer RNA (74 nucleotides) under Sphaerodactylus townsendi. Its description in RNAcentral is "tRNA-Ala". It matches the Rfam family "tRNA". From Rfam's summary of the family: Transfer RNA (tRNA) molecules are approximately 80 nucleotides in length. Their secondary structure includes four short double-helical elements and three loops (D, anti-codon, and T loops). Further hydrogen bonds mediate the characteristic L-shaped molecular structure. tRNAs have two regions of fundamental functional importance: the anti-codon, which is responsible for specific mRNA codon recognition, and the 3' end, to which the tRNAs corresponding amino acid is attached (by aminoacyl-tRNA synthetases). tRNAs cope with the degeneracy of the genetic code in two manners: having more than one tRNA (with a specific anti-codon) for a particular amino acid; and 'wobble' base-pairing, i.e. permitting non-standard base-pairing at the 3rd anti-codon position. Lineage: Eukaryota; Metazoa; Chordata; Lepidosauria; Squamata; Sphaerodactylidae. The record is from RNAcentral.